GACGAACGCUGGCGGCGUGCUUAACACAUGCAAGUCGAACGGAAAGGCCCUGCUUUUGUGGGGUGCUCGAGUGGCGAACGGGUGAGUAACACGCGAGUAACCUGCCCUUGACUUUGGGAUAACUUCAGGAAAAUGGGGCUAAUACCGGAUAGGAGCUCCUGCUGCAUGGUGGGGGUUGGAAAGUUUCGGCGGUUGGGGAUGGACUCGCGGCUUAUCAGCUUGUUGGUGGGGUAGUGGCUUACCAAGGCUUUGACGGGUAGCCGGCCUGAGAGGGUGACCGGCCACAUUGGGACUGAGAUACGGCCCAGACUCCUACGGUAGGCAGCAGUGGGGAAUAUUGCACAAUGGGCGGAAGCCUGAUGCAGCAACGCCGCGUGCGGGAUGACGGCCUUCGGGUUGUAAACCGCUUUCGCCUGUGACGAAGCGUGAUUGACGGUAAUGGGUAAAGAAGCACCGGCUAACUACGUG
Molecule: ribosomal RNA, 468 nt
Filed under: uncultured bacterium
Lineage: Bacteria
Description: partial 16S ribosomal RNA
Rfam family: Bacterial small subunit ribosomal RNA
Source: RNAcentral